GGCGUCCUGGCUGCCUCCCACUUCCUCCAGCCUUUCAGUUGCCGCCCCCCAAUCUCUGGGCUUUAGGAUGUGGCUUUAGCUGGGUCUGGGGAACAAGAUGGUGAGAGGCGAUGGAGGAGGAAACUAAAAUGCCUAGGUUCCCGAGGGGCUCAGUCUGAGGGCGGGAAGACGCAUUCUCGGUUGAUAGGGGGCCAGGAUUCUAAGUGCUCUGGGGAGGGACAGAACCCAGGUUGAGUAGGGUAGCGAUGCCCCACUGGGUCCAGGGGGAGCAGUGAGGAUGCCUGGGUCCCAGUUUGUUCUUCCGCUUCGGAGCAGGACGUCGGGAUUGGGUAUCAGAGUGGAGACAUUUCAGACCCAGUCCCUAGAACUGGUGUCAACCUUCCCAGGAGGCUCUCCUGGAGGAUUCCUGCUGUCCUUGGACAUACUGGGCCCUUCUCUGCCUCACGUCUCUGCUGCCUCAGUCCUCUUGCUUUGUGGAUUCUGGAAAGACACUCUGGCUGUAGUGGGGAACACCAUCAUGAAUGGACAGUGCCUGAGACCUUGAGAGGCUCCAUCAAGAUGAAGCUGUGUGUCUCAUCCCACAUACUUGACUAGAGGCGCCUGACAAGAUGGGAUAAGAUAUCUCUGUCUCAUCUCUCACCUUGCCUUAAUAAAUGUUAUUAAUCGGACAGCUGUGUGUGGCACCCAUCUGUCCGGGCUCUUGUCAUAGUCUAAUGAUAGCAGCUGGCUGUUGUACACCACCUAACAAUUCACAAGUGCUUCCACCCCCUUACAAGUG
This is a non-coding RNA of Peromyscus maniculatus bairdii (prairie deer mouse), 778 nucleotides long. The record is from RefSeq and is a predicted model, not a curated record. NCBI's taxonomy places the organism in Eukaryota, Metazoa, Chordata, Mammalia, Rodentia, Cricetidae.